ACCACUUUUAUUUUGACGUUUAUCUAACCCUACUUUAUUCUAAUCAAAGCAGAAGUAAAGUAGUGUAAUUUUUGUAUAAAUGUCUUUAUGUUUUCGAGAAAAGAACAAAUUCUUAAAAAAACAGGCCCGAAUGGUAUAGGAAGGUAUCAAUUUCUUAAUUUAUUGGUCCAAGAAUUUCGACUGACAAAAUCAUUAGAAUGCAAGCAACAAAUAUUGGCAAAUUUAGCUAAUUUUGCAUAUGAUCCCAUAAACUACGAAUUUAUUAGAAGUUUGUCCAUCAUUGACUUAUUCAUAAGCCAACUAGCACUACAUGAACAUGAAAGUCUUAUAAACUACGCUGUUGCAGGAUUGUGUAACUUGAGUGCAGAUAACGAGAAUCAGAAUAUUAUCAUUCAGCAGAGUGGCAUCACUUUAAUCACAAAACUGUUACUGCAUAAGAACAAGGAAAUUGCUUUAAAUAGUUUAACUGCUUUAUUAUUUUUAAUUACUCCAAGCAACAAACAAUAUCUUACAACAGAAACAAUAUACAAUGUUAUACAACUGAAUGAGUCAAGUGAUCCAAGAUUUAAAAAUUUGGCAACAAUUUUUAUUCAAGAUUUAUGUUCUGAGCAUGAGAUAAAUUUGGCAAAAUCCUGGAAACCCUCUUCUGAGCAACUUGAAAAAAUAUUUCAAAAAUUGGCACAAAUGAAUUAAACUCUGUCCAAAUUAAAAGAAUAGUAACUGCUAAAGAUUUGGAAACAUUUGCUACUUUGAGCGGUGACACAAACCCUAUACAUUUUGGAGAUAAAGCAAUUGUUCAUGGUGCAUUUUUAAAUUCUCUUGUAUCAGGCGUGAUUGGAACUAAACUUCCUGGACAUGGCACAAUUCUAAUAUCACAAACUUUAAAUUUUCCUAAUAAAUGUUUUGUAAAUGAAGUUGUAACUGUUACUGUUAAAAUUUUGGAGCAACGUAAAAUAGUAAAAGUUGAAUAUGAGUGUGAAGUUGAGGAAGAAAAAAAAAUUGUCUUGUAUGGAGAUGCAAAAUUAAUUUGUAAUAAAAAUAAAUAAUGUCAUGAAUAAAACU
Molecule: RNA transcript, 1062 nt
Organism: Agrilus planipennis (emerald ash borer)
Lineage: Eukaryota; Metazoa; Arthropoda; Insecta; Coleoptera; Buprestidae
Exons: 4
Source: RefSeq, a predicted model, not a curated record